AAAGGAGAGAUUUCGGUGCGUCUGAAAUCGAAAAGGCCACUUUCCUGCUGAUACAUCAGCUUCUGUUGCAUCGACAGGAGAAAAAAACAUGAAUAUAGAACUAUUAGUAUGCAAAAGAAAAUUAAAAAUAAAAUAGAAAGAUGAAGAACUGACAGAAGCUUCAUGUGCUAUGCGUUUAGCGAUAUCAGAUGUUCGUGAAUAUCGAAUAACGGGCCUCCUUUUAAGAGCCAAAAAGAUGGCUGCAAUUCCAUCUACGAUUCGAUCACAGUAAGUUUGUAGCUUUGGAGGGUCUACGACAGCAGGGAGCAUAUACAUAUGAUUUGAUGGUGUGUUCAAAGUGAAAUGGUAGGGGUCUAGUGCGACAAAAUCGGCAAAAAACUCCUGCACUUGUUGAACAACUUCAUGUUCGUCUGAAUCCGCUAAGAUAUGGAGCUGAGUAGUAUUCAACAUAUUUGAAAAAACUGCAACAAAUAAAAAAUAAUUAUACAUACAAUGCUGCAGAAUGAAUUGAAAGAUGAAAUCGAGGUUUAGAGGAAGUUGUUUACAAAGAAAAUAA
Molecule: long non-coding RNA, 556 nt
Filed under: Helianthus annuus (common sunflower)
Lineage: Eukaryota; Viridiplantae; Streptophyta; Magnoliopsida; Asterales; Asteraceae
Description: sRNA HanXRQr2_Chr09g0415381
Source: RNAcentral